RNAcentral lists this ribosomal RNA (617 nucleotides) under Malassezia nana. RNAcentral describes it as "eukaryotic LSU rRNA". It matches the Rfam family "Eukaryotic large subunit ribosomal RNA", at positions 49 to 658 of the family's 3401-position model. Lineage: Eukaryota; Fungi; Basidiomycota; Malasseziomycetes; Malasseziales; Malasseziaceae. The record is from RNAcentral.
AGCGGAGGAAAAUAAACUAACAAGGAUUCCCCUAGUAACGGCGAGCGAAGCGGGAAGAGCUCAAAUUUGAAAGCUGGCGCCUUCGGCGUCCGCGUUGUAAUCUCGAGACGUGUUUUCCGUGCGGCGCUAUGGACAAGUCCCUUGGAACAGGGCAUCGUAGAGGGUGAAAAUCCCGUACUUGCCAUGGAUGUACCGUGCUUUGUGAUACACGCUCUAAGAGUCGAGUUGUUUGGGAUUGCAGCUCAAAAUGGGUGGUAGACUCCAUCUAAAGCUAAAUAUCGGGGAGAGACCGAUAGCGAACAAGUACCGUGAGGGAAAGAUGAAAAGCACUUUGGAAAGAGAGUUAAAAGUACGUGAAAUUGUCGAAAGGGAAGCGCUUGAAGUCAGCCAUGCUGCGCGGACUCAGCCCGGCUGAUGCCUGGUGUAUUUCCCAGCAGCAAGCCAGCAUGGAUUUGGGUCGCCGGAGAAGGGCACGAGGAAUGUGGCACUUCGUGUGUGUUAAGCCUCGUGCUGGAUACGGCGAGCUGGAUCCAGGAACGCAGUGUGCCUCUGGCGGGUCUUCGGACACCUUCACACUUAGGAUGCUGGCGUAAUGGCUUUAAGCGGCCCGUCUUGAA